GGAAGGAUCAUUAACGAAUUGUAAAGGGGGUUUGAUGCUGGCAAGUUAUUCUUUAGCUGCAUGUGCUCGCCUCCAACAAUCUUUAUACAUACACCUGUGCACCUUCUGAGGGUUUCCGAGUAAGAUUGCUGUUUCUAGUGAUCUCUCUUAGAUUCCUUCUUCACACAUACACUGUUGAGAAUAUUGAACGUGCUCGUGCCGAUAAGGCCUUAAUAAAAUACAACUUUUAACAACGGAUCUCUUGGCUCUCGCAUCGAUGAAGAACGCAGCGAAAUGCGAUAAGUAAUGUGAAUUGCAGAAUUCAGUGAAUCAUCGAAUCUUUGAACGCAUCUUGCGCUCCCUGGUAUUCCGGGGAGCACGCCUGUUCGAGUGUCGUGAAAUUCUCAAGCUAGGUGCUUUUUGUGUCUUAGCUUGGUUAUUGGGCUUUGCCGUGUCCUUCGUUGGGACGGCUGGCCUUAAAAAUAUUAGCUGACCCUCAUGAUGGCAUUGGUUCUACUCAGCGUGAUAAUAAUCUGACCGCUGAGGACAUCUUUCGGGAUGGCCAAUUCUCGUUUGGGUUGCUCUCUAAUCUGGUUUAUGGAUUGCUAGUACCAAUCUGUUCCAUUUUCAAAUUUGACCUCGAAUCAGGUGGGACUACCCGCUGAACUUAAGCAUAUCAAUAAGCGGAGGAAAAGAAACUAACAAGGACUCCCCUAGUAACGGCGAGUGAAGAGGGAAAAGCUCAAAUUUAAAAUCUGGNAGUCUUCGAUUGUCCGAGUUGUAAUCUAGAGAAGCGUUUUCCGCGCUGGACUGUGUACAGUUUCCUGGAUACGGAACAUCAUAUAGGGUGAGAUCCCGUCCUUGACACAUACUCCCAGUGCUUGUGAUGCGCUCUCGAC
RNAcentral lists this ribosomal RNA (878 nucleotides) under uncultured fungus. RNAcentral describes it as "eukaryotic LSU rRNA". The stretch from base 614 to 878 matches the Rfam family "Eukaryotic large subunit ribosomal RNA", at positions 1 to 261 of the family's 3401-position model. Lineage: Eukaryota; Fungi. The record is from RNAcentral.